UGGGGAAUUUUGGACAAUGGGCGAAAGCCUGAUCCAGCAAUGCCGCGUGAGUGAAGAAGGCCUUCGGGUUGUAAAGCUCUUUUGUCAGGGAAGAAACGGUGAGAGCUAAUAUCUCUUGCUAAUGACGGUACCUGAAGAAUAAGCACCGGCUAACUACGUGCCAGCAGCCGCGGUAAUACGUAGGGUGCAAGCGUUAAUCGGAAUUACUGGGCGUAAAGCGUGCGCAGGCGGUUUUGUAAGUCUGAUGUGAAAUCCCCGGGCUCAACCUGGGAAUUGCAUUGGAGACUGCAAGGCUAGAAUCUGGCAGAGGGGGUAGAAUUCCACGUGUAGCAGUGAAAUGCGUAGAUAUGUGGAGGAACACCGAUGGCGAAGGCAGCCCCCUGGGUCAAGAUUGACGCUC
RNAcentral lists this ribosomal RNA (400 nucleotides) under uncultured bacterium. Its description in RNAcentral is "bacterial SSU rRNA". It matches the Rfam family "Bacterial small subunit ribosomal RNA", at positions 355 to 748 of the family's 1533-position model. The record is from RNAcentral.